This 975-nucleotide unclassified non-coding RNA is filed under the name Hevea brasiliensis (rubber tree). Lineage: Eukaryota; Viridiplantae; Streptophyta; Magnoliopsida; Malpighiales; Euphorbiaceae. The record is from RNAcentral.
GGGAGAAAAGAGCUUCAGGCCUAUUACAAUGUCAUAGACUUCACUAAAACAGGAAAAGACCCAAAACUAACUUAACUUAGCUCAACAUACUAAUUCUUACAAUAAAAGCAUAAAGCUAGAUAACCGUGGCCUGAAUGUAUAAACGGUCCCUAAUAGGCUGUCCAGGCCAGAACCAAAAAUAAGAAUGAGGCCCAAUAAUUUUAAAGCCCUAAACUUUGGCUUGACCUGAAGAGAGGAUCUAGAUGUGGAGGGAGAACAACCUCCCACCCUAACAGUUGAACCCUGUCUAAGCCACCCCAGAGCAGGUGAUAGAUAAUUGGAGUUGGAGAAGCCCAAAGGAAUCACCCGAAGCCCAAAGGAAUCACCCAAAUUCAAUGAUUCCAAACAGAUAACCGCUCUCGAAAGAUGAGUAACCUAAAAGAAACCUUUAGCAUCAAAGAAGCAAACACAAAGCUAAGGUGAAAGGCAAGAUCCAAAGCCAAGGGGACCAUAUGGGUGCGAGUCAGAGCUCUUUUGCACCUCUUGCCUUUGAGAGACUGGAUGCUUAGAGAGUGGCACCUGUAACGUCUCCAAGAGUUAUCACACAGACUAAAAGAAUGAGACCCGUUGAUCGACAACAACUCUUGGCUUUAAGUUAGAGAACAAAUGUCGCUUACCCAUCAACAAAAACAUGGCCACAGAAGGAAAAGCACUACUGCUGCUAAGCUUGAGAACCAAGCCAUUGCAGAUUUCAUUUAAACCCCCAAAAUCAACCCCAAACUUGCAAGCAAACAAAACCAACCCAAAAAUAUCUAUAACCCUCAGAGAAGAAAGGGGAAACCCACACCGAGCUAGGGAAGAAAAGCUGUCCUUCGCCCGGAGGGAUAGGAGACAGUUGAUGUAGCUCGACAGAAAAAGAGACUUAGUUUCUAAGAGUAUAAAAGUUAAAAAAGAGAAAAUUUCUCUUUUUGCUCAACCCUUGAAAAGCGAAAUGUA